AGGUGUAGCGCAGCCCGGUAGCGCGCCUGCUUUGGGAGCAGGAUGUCGCAGGUUCGAAUCCUGUCACCU
This 69-nucleotide transfer RNA is filed under the name Neglectibacter timonensis. It matches the Rfam family "tRNA". From Rfam's summary of the family: Transfer RNA (tRNA) molecules are approximately 80 nucleotides in length. Their secondary structure includes four short double-helical elements and three loops (D, anti-codon, and T loops). The record is from RNAcentral. Lineage: Bacteria; Bacillati; Bacillota; Clostridia; Eubacteriales; Oscillospiraceae.